GUGGCCCAUUGAAGUUGGAGUGCUUGCACAAAAAUGGAUUUGGAUUUUCCACCUAGUGGCAAACGGGUGAGUAACACGUGGGUUACCUGCCCUUAAGUUGGGGAUAACAGUUGGAAACGAUUGCUAAUACCGAAUGUGCUCUACGGAGUAAAGAAGCCCUUAAAGCUUCGCUUAAGGAUGGGCCUGCGGCGCAUUAGCUUGUUGGUGGGGUAAUGGCCUACCAAGGCAACGAUGCGUAGCCGAACUGAGAGGUUGAUCGGCCACACUGGGACUGAGACACGGCCCAGACUCCUACGGGAGACAGCAGUAGGAAUAUUCGUCAAUGGGGGAAACCCUGAACGAGCAAUGCCGCGUGAGUGAUGAAGGCCCUUCGGGUUGUAAAACUCUGUUGUUUGGAAAGAAUUGUAAGAUUAGGAAAUGAAUCUUACUUGACGGUACCAUUCAAGAAAGCCACGGCUAACUACGUGCCAGCAGCCGCGGUAAUACGUAGGUGGCGAGCGUUAUCCGGAUUUAUUGGGCGUAAAGCGUGCGCAGGCGGUUUGUUAAGUCUAAAAUCAAAGCCCGAAGCUUAACUUCGGUUCGUUUUAGAAACUGGCAGGCUUGAGUAUGGUAGAGGCAAACGGAAUUUCUAGUGUAGCGGUAAAAUGCGUAGAUAUUAGAAGGAACACCAGUGGCGAAGGCGGUUUGCUGGGCCAUUACUGACGCUCAUGCACGAAAGCGUGGGGAGCAAA
RNAcentral lists this ribosomal RNA (731 nucleotides) under uncultured bacterium. Its description in RNAcentral is "bacterial SSU rRNA". It matches the Rfam family "Bacterial small subunit ribosomal RNA", at positions 44 to 772 of the family's 1533-position model. The record is from RNAcentral.